CUCGUGCCAACUGUCAAAAUGUUUUGAAAAACAAAAUGCUCUUAUUUCGAUGCAUUUCAAGAGUUUUGUUGUGAUAAGAACACUGGAAUAUAGACUGAAACACUAUCCAACCAUUAGACUUAUGAUCUUGACAUGGAUCCAAGAUGCUGGUAACUAGGCGGGACGGAUUGGUAGAAAGAACUGCAGGUUUCUGUAUGGAGACUCAGCGCCAUGUCACAAAUACUUCAGAACCUAGAAUGAAAGUUACCGAAAGAGCAAUAGACUUUCCAAUCUCUACAAAAUUCAUCUUAGCUGUUUUUCAAGGUGAUACUUGAGACUACCAAAGACUUCAAGGACAGAAUUCACAAAACAGUUUAUGCCACCAUCUCAUAUCAAAGGAUUGUGCUUGAGUUGAACAGCCUUCAAACAGAAACUGCUUCAACACCUUCAAUGGAUUCAUUCUGAUUCAGUUUACCCUUGCUGUGAUCUGAGCAACUAUUUACAUCAAUUCAACAUUGUAAAUUGUUUAAACUUGAAAAUUCUGUCUUCGUGCAACUCACAUGAAUCUAUUUACUGUGGACUUUGAUGUUGACUCUAUACAGGAAGAAGAGACAAUCUUUAUACAUGCUGGCAUAUCUUUUAAAAAGGAAACAAAUAUUAUAACCAACAUACUACACUGUUAUGUCAUCCAAGGACUCAGCUACUGACUCAAUUUAUAAAUACUUCAAAGGAAAAAUGUCUCUGUCAAUGUAAUUAGUGCUGUGCAUAAUAAGACAUUUUUAGCUUGACUAUUCGAAGAAUAGGUGGGCUAUACUACUCGCCCCAGCGUCGGCGUCGGCGUGCGGUUAAAGUUUUAGGGCAAGUUGGGAUUUUCAUUUAUAAGUCCAAUACCCUACAUUCAAUUGACUUAAUACUUCACACAGUUGUUCAGGGCCAUCACAUGAUGAGGUUAGAUAACUCCAUAUUAUUCUUUACACAGAUUAUGGCCCCUGAUUGACUAUGGAACUUGGGUUAAAGUUUUAGGGCAAGUUGGAAUAUUUAUUAAUAACUUCUAUAUAUAUCCUUUGUUCAAUUGACUUAAUACUUCACACAGUUGUUCAGGACCAUCCCACAAUGAGGUUACAUAACUCCAUAUUAUCCUAAAUACAAGUUAUGUCCCUUGAUUGACUUAGGUUAAAGUUUUAGGGCAGGUUAAAGUUUUAGGGCAAGUUGGGAUUUUCACUUAAAACUCCAAUACCAUUCAUUCAAUUGACUUAAUACUUCACACAGAUGUUCAGAGCCAUCACAUAAUGAGGUUAGAUAACUCCAUAUUAUCUUUUAUACAAAUUAUGGCCCCUGAUUGACUAUGGAACUUAGGUUAAAGUUUUAGGGCAGGUUGGGAUAUUGUUUAAUAACUUCUAUACCCUUCAUUCAAUUGACUUAAUACUUCACACAAUUGUUCAGGACCAUCACCCAAUGAGGUUACAUAACUCCAUAGCCUUAAUACAAGUUAUGGCCCCUGAUUGACUUAGGUUAAAGUUUUAAGCAAGUAAAAGUUAAGGGCAAGUUGGGAUUUUAAUAAAAAAAAACGUCUAUACCGUUCAUUAAAUGCACUUAAUAAAAUUCAAAAUUAUUUACGACCAUCUUACAACAAGAAACAUAACUCCGUUUUAAGCCUAAAUACAAGUUAUGGCCCUUGAUUUUUUUUUUUAAAUUUCCGUUGAAAGGCAUAUUUGUAUAUUCUUAAUCACAUUUUCAUAAUGGGAAAUCAAGUUAUUUGAAUGACUUGCGUCAUUGUUUGGGCGGGCUGGUGGGAGGGCAGCAUCAAAGUCACCUUAUGUAUCAAAUAAUUUUAGUUAGGUUUGACAUAAAGAGACCAAACUUGGUAUUAUUACAUCGUUAUUGUAUUCUAAGUCAAAGCGGCGUAGUCGAGCGCGCUGUCUUACGACGGCUUUUACGAGGGUAUAUUGCUUUGCACAUGUCGGUCGGUCGGUACCGUCUACCGUCUGUAGACCAAAGCUUGUCCGAGUGAUAACUCAACAAUUCCUGGACGUAUGGUCAUCAAACUUGACAUGAAGGAUGGGCCUGACCAGUAGAUGAUUUUAGGGGUCAAAGGUCAAGGUCACAGUGACCUUGAAUGGUAUAUUAAUUUUAAAGCUUGUCUGAGUGAUAACUCAACAAUGCCUAGACCUUUCGUCAUCAAACUUGAUAUGGAAGUUGGGCCUCACCAGUAGAUGACCCCUAUUGGUUUUGGGGAUCAUCGAGCCAAAGAUCAAGGUCACAGUGACCUUGAAUGGUAAAAGGUUGUCCAAGUGAUAAAUCAACAAUGCCUGUCCCCAUGGCCCUCAAACUUGGCUCGGAGGUUGGGCCUUACCAGUAGUUGACCUCUAUUGAUUUUAGGGGUCAAGGUCAAAGUGAUCUUGAAAGCAAACUCGACAAUUCCUGGACCAAUCAUGCCAUUCAGUCUGAAUGGUCAUCAAACUUGACAUAAAGGUUGGGCCUGACCAGUAGAUGACCCCUCUUGACUUUGAGGGUCAUCAAGCCAAGGUCAAGGUCACAAUAACCUUUAAUGCAAAAAAGAUAACAAAUCCUCUCUCAGGGAUAUCUCAACAAUGCCUGAACCUAUGAUCAUCAAACUUGACAUGGAUGUUGGUCCUGACAAGGAGAUGACGCUUAUUGAUUUUAGGAGUCAUUGGGUCAAAGGUCAAGUUCACAGUGACCUUGAAUGUGAAAAUAUUUCGAGUGAUAAAUUGACAAUGCCUGUACCCAUGGCCCUCAAACCUGACUUGAAGUUGUGUCUGGCCUGUAGAUGAGUCCCUUUCAUUUUAGGGGUCAUCGGGUCAAACGUCAAGUUCACAGUGACAUUGAUUGAAAAAAGCUUGUCUGUGUGAUAACAUGUCAAUGCUUGAACCCAUGUCCCUCAAACUUGGCAUUUAGAUUUUUGAAGACCAGCUGAUGACUCGUAUGGAUUUUGAGGUCAAAGGUCAUGGUCAUAACACACUCUAUCCUCACACUUUGAAUGGUCAUAAUCUUAAAACUGCCUCAACGGCAUCCAAUGUCAGUGACUAAUCAGCUGUCAUUUCGGUCCAUGCUUAUUUCAUUCAAUUGUUCAUAUAAUCCUGACAACAUGGCGCUCAGGUGGGGGCAUAAUGUUUGACAAACAUCUCUUGUUGAUACUUGGCUCAUUUCUCACAUGUAGCUGUAACAUUUUGGGCAACUUCUCAAUUAUUUUGUUUAAGACAUUUUUCAUCCAGCUCAUCUAAGCCUAAGUUAGUGUUCAUGUUAACUUUUAUGACUGCCUGUUUAUUGUACUUGUUAUAAAUUAUUUUUAAUGACUUUUUCUCAAGAACCAUUUGGCUAAGUAUGUCUCCUCCUGAAAUAGACUAAUUCUUUUAGCUCCAUUUGUCUGUCUGUCUGUCUGUAACAAAUUGUGUCUGCUCCAUGUCCUUUUAACCUUUUGAAGGAUUUGAUAUAAUUUCCCACAAAUGUACACCAUAUUGAGAGUAAGGGUUUAUUAUCAUAACUGUUGAGUAGUUUCUGAACUUGACUGUAUUAUAUCUUGCAUUUACCUCAAGCUGUUAAGUGAACAAUAUAACAUUGACCAAUACAAGGAACUAAACCUUCUAGGUCACCAUUUUGGAAUAAAGUAAUACUUAAAGCUCAUAUUUCCAUAAGAAUCUGCUCAUAUACAGUUUAAAUAGCUUAUACAAGAAUAUCAUUUCAACAUAACAUCAGAUCCUCCACUGUUUUAUGUUUGCAACAUAUUUUUUUAAACUUUGAUUUAUAUAUCAUGACUUUUAUGAACAAAUACCAAACAGCAACUCACAGAUCUAUACUCAUUUGGGCAGAAUUUUGUAAAUCUAAGCAUUGUCAUUUGAUAUUCAAUGCUUUUUGGCAAAUUGGAGCAUUUUCUGUCACAUUAAAAUCAAUAUUAACAAUAAAGCUCCAACUUCAAUAUUCUCACUAUAUUUUUGUGCCCAUUCUUUGCCAAUUAUUUGUUUGUCUAUUGGUAUACAUGUAUGUUUAUUCAUACUGUUUUUCAAAAUAACAAAUUAAUAAAAUGUU
This is a long non-coding RNA of Mya arenaria, 4023 nucleotides long. RefSeq lists it as uncharacterized. Lineage: Eukaryota; Metazoa; Mollusca; Bivalvia; Myida; Myidae. The record is from RefSeq and is a predicted model, not a curated record. The transcript has 3 exons.